UGCGUAGGCGGUCCCGCAAGUCCGCUGUGAAAGCCCCGGGCUUAACCUGGGAAUGGCAGUGGAAACUAGGGGACUUGAAUCCGGCAGAGGGGGGUGGAAUGCCACGUGUAGCAGUGAAAUGCGUAGAGAUGUGGCGGAACACCGAUGGCGAAGGCAGUCCCCUGGGUUGAGAUUGACGCUCAGGCACGAAAGCGUGGGGAGCAAACAGGAUUAGAUACCCUGGUAGUCCACGCCCUAAACGAUGAUCACUAGGUGUUGGGGAAGCGAUUUCUCAGUACCGCAGCUAACGCGUGAAGUGAUCCGCCUGGGGAGUACGGUCGCAAGAUUAAA
This 330-nucleotide ribosomal RNA is filed under the name uncultured bacterium. RNAcentral's name for it is "bacterial SSU rRNA". It matches the Rfam family "Bacterial small subunit ribosomal RNA", at positions 568 to 898 of the family's 1533-position model. The record is from RNAcentral.